RNAcentral lists this transfer RNA (70 nucleotides) under Fluvitrygon signifer (white-rimmed stingray). RNAcentral's name for it is "tRNA-Tyr". It matches the Rfam family "tRNA". Rfam says of the family: Transfer RNA (tRNA) molecules are approximately 80 nucleotides in length. The record is from RNAcentral. Lineage: Eukaryota; Metazoa; Chordata; Chondrichthyes; Myliobatiformes; Dasyatidae.
GGUAAGGUGGCUGAGAGUUAAGCGGCGGAUUGUAGCUCCGUAGAGAGAGGUGUGAGUCCUCUCCUUAUCA